This 253-nucleotide ribosomal RNA is filed under the name uncultured bacterium. Its description in RNAcentral is "partial 16S ribosomal RNA". It matches the Rfam family "Bacterial small subunit ribosomal RNA", at positions 524 to 776 of the family's 1533-position model. The record is from RNAcentral.
UACAGAGGUCCCAAGCGUUACUGAGAAUCACUGGGUUUAAAGGGUGCGUAGGUGGUCCGUUAAGUCAGUUGUGAAAUCCCCGGGCUCAACCCGGGAACUGCUUCUGAUACUGGCGGACUUGAGGCCAGUAGGGGUCACUAGAACUGACGGUGGAGCGGUGAAAUGCGUAGAUAUCGUCAGGAAUGCCGGUGGUGAAGACGGGUGACUGGGCUGGUUCUGACACUGAGGCACGAAAGCGUGGGGAGCGAACCGG